GACGAACGCUGGCGGCGUGCCUAAUACAUGCAAGUCGAACGCAGUGGGGACGGGUGAGUAACACGUGGGUAACCUCCCAUCAGAGGGGAUAAAACUUGGAAACAGGUGCUAAACCGAUACUGAUGGAUGGACCCGCGGUGCAUUAGCUAGUGGGUGAGGUAACGGCUCACCAAGGCCAUGAUGCAGAGCUGACCUGAGAGAGGGACCGGCCACACUGGGACUGAGACACGGCCCAGACUCCAACGGGAGGCAGAAGUAGGGAAUCUUUGGCAAUGAACGAAAGUCGAACGGGGAAACGCCGCGUGAGUGAAGAAGGUUUGCGGAUCGUAAGACUCUUUUGUUGGGGAGGCGGUAUCUGACCAGAAAGCCACGGCUAACUACGUGCCAGCCGCCGCGGUAAUAC
RNAcentral lists this ribosomal RNA (403 nucleotides) under uncultured bacterium. RNAcentral's name for it is "partial 16S ribosomal RNA". It matches the Rfam family "Bacterial small subunit ribosomal RNA", at positions 28 to 526 of the family's 1533-position model. The record is from RNAcentral.